GCGGAAGUAGUUCAGUGGUAGAACAUCACCUUGCCAAGGUGGGGGUAGCGGGUUCGAACCCCGUCUUCCGCU
This 72-nucleotide transfer RNA is filed under the name Candidatus Atopostipes pullistercoris. RNAcentral's name for it is "tRNA-Gly". It matches the Rfam family "tRNA". From Rfam's summary of the family: Transfer RNA (tRNA) molecules are approximately 80 nucleotides in length. Their secondary structure includes four short double-helical elements and three loops (D, anti-codon, and T loops). The record is from RNAcentral. Lineage: Bacteria; Bacillati; Bacillota; Bacilli; Lactobacillales; Carnobacteriaceae.